RNAcentral lists this small RNA (29 nucleotides) under Bombyx mori (domestic silkworm). Its description in RNAcentral is "ovarian small RNA-30578". The record is from RNAcentral. Lineage: Eukaryota; Metazoa; Arthropoda; Insecta; Lepidoptera; Bombycidae.
UGAAAUCCAUGACCAACGGUUACCACCCA